This 90-nucleotide transfer RNA is filed under the name Rhizocola hellebori. RNAcentral describes it as "tRNA-Ala". The record is from RNAcentral. Lineage: Bacteria; Bacillati; Actinomycetota; Actinomycetes; Micromonosporales; Micromonosporaceae.
CGAUGGGCUGGUUCACCGCCACACACGCCGCGUUGCUGGCGGCGAUCGAGCAUGCCGCAGGCAAUGGGUUCGACGCCCACGCCCAUCGGC